This 435-nucleotide non-coding RNA is filed under the name Pongo abelii (Sumatran orangutan). Lineage: Eukaryota; Metazoa; Chordata; Mammalia; Primates; Hominidae. The record is from RNAcentral.
GGUGCUGGCUGAGGUGUGUCAGUGAUUGCCACGGGCUGCACCCCUCACUGUUGCCCGAGGUCACCCAAGGUCACCCAAGGUCAAUGGGAAAUAUCCAGGGAUGAUGGUGGAUCCUGGAAGCGCCUCACAACAGCUACCUUCAGCCCAGGACGACUUUGGAAGGCCUAAAGUUUGAACCAAAAAUGGAGCCCCUGCCCCUCUCCCCAUGUUGGAUUCAAAUUGAAAAGCUACACGGAAUGAAUGCUAUGGAUAAACUGCUGAAGAUAGCUCCUGUCCAUUUGACUCUCAAGGGUGUCUUCUUUCACGUUGAAGAACAGGAGACAACCAAAAUGUGAAAUGUAUGCUGAAGCCAACCAGAACAUCAAAGGACAGUCACAAGCACUAACCAUGAAGCUAUAUUUCUACUAAUACAUUCUUUUAAAAAAAAAUAAAAAA